CUGUGUCCGUCUCAGACAUCUUCAAGGUCCCUGUUGGGGGAUAAAUGCAGAGAGGAGGCACCGUCCCAGGAGACAUCUUCUGGACCUCCACAGGGUCUCCAGCAUGCAGCGUCGGGGGGGUUAGAGCCAGGAGUCUUUACACUCGCUGUUCCUUUUUCCUAUGCAUAUACCUCUUUCAGAUGUCACUUUAAAGAGGCAUAGGGCAUGGGAAAAUGGGGCUGCAGAGGUUUUCCACCAGGCGACCCGCCAUUUCAUCAUCCUCUCUACAGCACGGAUGACCUCAAACACGCAAACACACACACUCUGGGUACCGGUCUGCCAUCCCCUCAUUGUAAGGACUACAUAGCGUUUAUUUUGAAAUGUGUCAUUAUGUUAGAUCACAACUCCUCAUAUUUAUCUUUGAUGUGGAGGGAAGUGAUAACUCAUUUUGUUAUUAUUAACAAUGUUUUUAUUUUAUUUUAUUUUAUUUGAUGUGCAAUACCUUGUUAAAAUGCUGCUGUAACAAAACAAAAAAUCCCAUAAUUGGCUAAAUAAAAUAUUCAAAUAUUCUAUUUUAUAUAACUGUUGUGUGAAUAUUUCUUUCUGUUGUUUUGUUAAAUAAAGAAAUAUUUGCAUUAAUA
Molecule: long non-coding RNA, 620 nt
Organism: Eleginops maclovinus (Patagonian blennie)
Lineage: Eukaryota; Metazoa; Chordata; Actinopteri; Perciformes; Eleginopidae
Exons: 2
Source: RefSeq, a predicted model, not a curated record